RNAcentral lists this ribosomal RNA (347 nucleotides) under uncultured bacterium. Its description in RNAcentral is "bacterial SSU rRNA". It matches the Rfam family "Bacterial small subunit ribosomal RNA", at positions 1 to 334 of the family's 1533-position model. The record is from RNAcentral.
GUACUACUCUCAGAGUUUGUAUCCUGGCUCAGGACGAACGCUGGCGGCGUGCCUAACACAUGCAAGUCGAGCGGAGACAGAUUUGUAGCUUGCUUGAAUCUGUUUUAGUCGGCGGACGGGUGAGUAACGCGUGAGCAACCUUUCUCUCAGUGGGGAAUAACACAGGGAAACUUGUACUAAUACCGCAUGAGACCACGACCUGGCAUCGGGAUGGGGUCAAAGAUUAAUCGCUGAGAGGUGGGCUCGCGUCUGAUUAGAUAGUUGGUGGGGUAACGGCCUACCAAGUCGACGAUCAGUAGCCGACCUGAGAGGGUGAUCGGCCACAUUGGGACUGAGACACGGCCCAA